GAGGGUACAGCUCAGCGGUAGAGCUUGUGCUUAGGAUGCACAAGGUCCUGGGUUCAAUCCUCAGUACCGCCA
Molecule: transfer RNA, 72 nt
Filed under: Camelus bactrianus (Bactrian camel)
Lineage: Eukaryota; Metazoa; Chordata; Mammalia; Artiodactyla; Camelidae
Also listed under: 1 other name
Rfam family: tRNA
About the family: Transfer RNA (tRNA) molecules are approximately 80 nucleotides in length. Their secondary structure includes four short double-helical elements and three loops (D, anti-codon, and T loops). Further hydrogen bonds mediate the characteristic L-shaped molecular structure. tRNAs have two regions of fundamental functional importance: the anti-codon, which is responsible for specific mRNA codon recognition, and the 3' end, to which the tRNAs corresponding amino acid is attached (by aminoacyl-tRNA synthetases). tRNAs cope with the degeneracy of the genetic code in two manners: having more than one tRNA (with a specific anti-codon) for a particular amino acid; and 'wobble' base-pairing, i.e. permitting non-standard base-pairing at the 3rd anti-codon position.
Source: Rfam by way of RNAcentral